GAGAGCGCGCCACCGAUGGUGAGGUGGGGCUGGCUGUAACCCAGUUGCCUUCGGGCUCAGGGGUUCGAAUCCCUCCGCUCUCA
RNAcentral lists this transfer RNA (83 nucleotides) under Asanoa hainanensis. RNAcentral's name for it is "tRNA_Tyr_GTA". It matches the Rfam family "tRNA". From Rfam's summary of the family: Transfer RNA (tRNA) molecules are approximately 80 nucleotides in length. The record is from RNAcentral. Lineage: Bacteria; Bacillati; Actinomycetota; Actinomycetes; Micromonosporales; Micromonosporaceae.